RNAcentral lists this long non-coding RNA (537 nucleotides) under Volvox carteri. RNAcentral describes it as "long non-coding RNA (VCAR_LNC000806)". The record is from RNAcentral. Lineage: Eukaryota; Viridiplantae; Chlorophyta; Chlorophyceae; Chlamydomonadales; Volvocaceae.
UCGGAUUUAGGGGGUGCUGCCCGCCUUACGGCCCUGCGCCCUGGCGUUGGACGUGGCUCGAGGAAUGCUGCCACGUGUGCGUACCAUUCAGCCUGAGCUGGAUGAUGCUACAAGGUAGCCCUGGGAAGAGCUGUCGUUGCAUCAUCUGCACAGCUGCCAGGUUGUGCACGCAGACCUCAAACCUGGUACGCAACGCGCGCCUGCAUGCAUGGCUCGCACCAUCAAUGAUGGAUAAUUCAUAAAUAACAACUAUGGUGAUGACGAUGCUUGCAGUUUCCCAUUUUCUCGAUGCCUCCGUAAUUGCCUUCGUGGUUUGUCAAACGCAACAAGCUUACGGUGAUACACGGUCGCGCCCCCGCAGGUGGCGGCUGCUGGUCAGUUGUCGCCCCAUGCUGACGUGUGGUCGUUUGGCCUCAUCCUCAUGGGUGCUCCCUAAACCAAGUACUGUGCAUUUGCGCCGCCAUCCGGGGCUUUGCAGUCCACAGGGGCAAGCAGACGCCGCCGCCAGAAACCUUACUCAGGUUGGGCAUAUGCUUG